GGUUGAGAAUGUAGACAUUGCUCGGUGCAUGUUUACUGUGCGAGGAACUGGCCGUGGCAGCUUUAUUGCUGGCAAAAGCGUGCAUAACCAGAGAGUGGAACGGCUAUGGAGAGAUGUUUGGACUGCUGUAACAUCAAGCUACUACAAUGUUCUCCACAGCUUGGAAGAGGAGGGAUUAAUUGACCUGUCUAAUGCUGUUCACCUAUUCUGUGUGAGAUAUGUUUUCAUCCCCAGAAUACACACAGAUUUGCAGCAUUUCAUAGAGAUGUGGAACUGUCAUCCCUUGCGAACGGAGGGAAAUUUGUCACCGAAUCAACUUUGGAAUAUUGGGAUGUUGCAAGCACCUGUGUCAGAGCCUGAUUUUGCAGAGAUUUUGCAAGCAGAGGAAUUAUUCUUCCAGAAUCCACAGAGUGUUGACUCUGAACAUGGAGUCAUUGUCCCAGAGAUACCUUGCCCCCUUGUCACCUGAAGAUUUUGCUACUUUACAGAAUCAAGUGAACCCCA
Long non-coding RNA from Cyprinus carpio (common carp), 504 nucleotides. RefSeq lists it as uncharacterized. The transcript is spliced from 3 exons. The record is from RefSeq and is a predicted model, not a curated record. NCBI's taxonomy places the organism in Eukaryota, Metazoa, Chordata, Actinopteri, Cypriniformes, Cyprinidae.